This 474-nucleotide ribosomal RNA is filed under the name uncultured organism. RNAcentral describes it as "partial 16S ribosomal RNA". It matches the Rfam family "Bacterial small subunit ribosomal RNA", at positions 335 to 800 of the family's 1533-position model. The record is from RNAcentral.
ACUCCUGCGGGAGGCAGCAGUGGGGAAUUUUGGACAAUGGGCGAAAGCCUGAUCCAGCAAUGCCGCGUGUGUGAAGAAGGCCUUCGGGUUGUAAAGCACUUUUGUCCGGAAAGAAAUCCUUGGCUCUAAUACAGUCGGGGGAUGACGGUACCGGAAGAAUAAGCAACGGCUAACUACGUGCCAGCAGCCGCGGUAAUACGUAGGGUGCGAGCGUUAAUCGGAAUUACUGGGCGUAAAGCGUGCGCAGGCGGUUUGCUAAGACCGAUGUGAAAUCCCCGGGCUCAACCUGGGAACUGCAUUGGUGACUGGCAGGCUAGAGUAUGGCAGAGGGGGGUAGAAUUCCACGUGUAGCAGUGAAAUGCGUAGAGAUGUGGAGGAAGACCGAUGGCGAAGGCAGCCCCCUGGGCCAAUACUGACGCUCAUGCACGAAAGCGUGGGGAGCAAACAGGAUUAGAUACCCCUGUAGUCCCAUGA